This 1643-nucleotide ribosomal RNA is filed under the name Salmonella enterica subsp. enterica serovar Typhimurium. RNAcentral describes it as "partial 23S ribosomal RNA". It matches the Rfam family "Bacterial large subunit ribosomal RNA", at positions 1189 to 2802 of the family's 2925-position model. The record is from RNAcentral. Lineage: Bacteria; Pseudomonadati; Pseudomonadota; Gammaproteobacteria; Enterobacterales; Enterobacteriaceae.
CGACGUCAAAGCGUAUACAAAGUCGAGUCGGUUUAAGGAUACGUUCGUUGGGUAGGGGAGCGUUCUGUAAGCCUGUGAAGGUGGCCUGUGAGGGUUGCUGGAGGUAUCAGAAGUGCGAAUGCUGACAUAAGUAACGAUAAAGCGGGUGAAAAGCCCGCUCGCCGGAAGACCAAGGGUUCCUGUCCAACGUUAAUCGGGGCAGGGUGAGUCGACCCCUAAGGCGAGGCCGAAAGGCGUAGUCGAUGGGAAACGGGUUAAUAUUCCCGUACUUGGUGUUACUGCGAAGGGGGGACGGAGAAGGCUAUGUUGGCCGGGCGACGGUUGUCCCGGUUUAAGCGUGUAGGUGUGUGUUCCAGGUAAAUCCGGUUCACUUUAACACUGAGGCGUGAUGACGAGGCACUACGGUGCUGAAGCAACAAAUGCCCUGCUUCCAGGAAAAGCCUCUAAGCAUCAGGUAACAUCAAAUCGUACCCCAAACCGACACAGGUGGUCAGGUAGAGAAUACCAAGGCGCUUGAGAGAACUCGGGUGAAGGAACUAGGCAAAAUGGUGCCGUAACUUCGGGAGAAGGCACGCUGACACGUAGGUGAAGUGAUUUACUCACGGAGCUGAAGUCAGUCGAAGAUACCAGCUGGCUGCAACUGUUUAUUAAAAACACAGCACUGUGCAAACACGAAAGUGGACGUAUACGGUGUGACGCCUGCCCGGUGCCGGAAGGUUAAUUGAUGGGGUCAGCGCAAGCGAAGCUCCUGAUCGAAGCCCCGGUAAACGGCGGCCGUAACUAUAACGGUCCUAAGGUAGCGAAAUUCCUUGUCGGGUAAGUUCCGACCUGCACGAAUGGCGUAAUGAUGGCCAGGCUGUCUCCACCCGAGACUCAGUGAAAUUGAACUCGCUGUGAAGAUGCAGUGUACCCGCGGCAAGACGGAAAGACCCCGUGAACCUUUACUAUAGCUUGACACUGAACAUUGAGCCUUGAUGUGUAGGAUAGGUGGGAGGCUUUGAAGCGUGGACGCCAGUCUGCGUGGAGCCGACCUUGAAAUACCACCCUUUAAUGUUUGAUGUUCUAACGUGGACCCGUUACCCGGGUUGCGGACAGUGUCUGGUGGGUAGUUUGACUGGGGCGGUCUCCUCCUAAAGAGUAACGGAGGAGCACGAAGGUUGGCUAAUCCUGGUCGGACAUCAGGAGGUUAGUGCAAUGGCAUAAGCCAGCUUGACUGCGAGCGUGACGGCGCGAGCAGGUGCGAAAGCAGGUCAUAGUGAUCCGGUGGUUCUGAAUGGAAGGGCCAUCGCUCAACGGAUAAAAGGUACUCCGGGGAUAACAGGCUGAUACCGCCCAAGAGUUCAUAUCGACGGCGGUGUUUGGCACCUCGAUGUCGGCUCAUCACAUCCUGGGGCUGAAGUAGGUCCCAAGGGUAUGGCUGUUCGCCAUUUAAAGUGGUACGCGAGCUGGGUUUAGAACGUCGUGAGACAGUUCGGUCCCUAUCUGCCGUGGGCGCUGGAGAACUGAGGGGGGCUGCUCCUAGUACGAGAGGACCGGAGUGGACGCAUCACUGGUGUUCGGGUUGUCAUGCCAAUGGCACUGCCCGGUAGCUAAAUGCGGAAGAGAUAAGUGCUGAAAGCAUCUAAGCACGAAACUUGCCCCGA